CUAGCGCGGUGGUCCCACCUGACCCCAUGCCGAACUCAGAAGUGAAACGCCGUAGCGCCGAUGGUAGUGUGGGGUUUCCCCAUGCGAGAGUAGGGAACUGCCAGGC
This 106-nucleotide ribosomal RNA is filed under the name Salmonella enterica. Lineage: Bacteria; Pseudomonadati; Pseudomonadota; Gammaproteobacteria; Enterobacterales; Enterobacteriaceae. RNAcentral also lists the same sequence under 1 other name. The record is from RNAcentral.